AUGUUAGAGUUUAAGAGAUUUAAGUUGUG
RNAcentral lists this non-coding RNA (29 nucleotides) under Cricetulus griseus (Chinese hamster). The record is from RNAcentral. Lineage: Eukaryota; Metazoa; Chordata; Mammalia; Rodentia; Cricetidae.